This 484-nucleotide ribosomal RNA is filed under the name uncultured bacterium. RNAcentral's name for it is "partial 16S ribosomal RNA". It matches the Rfam family "Bacterial small subunit ribosomal RNA", at positions 30 to 507 of the family's 1533-position model. The record is from RNAcentral.
AUUGAACGCUGGCGGCAGGCCUAACACAUGCAAGUCGAGCGGAUGAAGGGAGCUUGCUCCUGGAUUCAGCGGCGGACGGGUGAGUAAUGCCUAGGAAUCUGCCUGGUAGUGGGGGAUAACGUCCGGAAACGGGCGCUAAUACCGCAUACGUCCUGAGGGAGAAAGUGGGGGAUCUUCGGACCUCACGCCACCAGAUGAGCCUAGGUCGGAUUAGCUAGUUGGUGGGGUAAAGGCCUACCAAGGCGACGAUCCGUAACUGGUCUGAGAGGAUGAUCAGUCACACUGGAACUGAGACACGGACCAGACUCCUACGGGAGGCAACAGAGGAGAAUAUUAGACAAGGGGCGAAAGCCUGAUCCAGCCAUGCCGCGUGUGUGAAGAAGGUCUUCGGAUUGGUAAGCACUUUAAGUUGGAGGGAAGGACAGUAAGUUAAUACCUUGCUGUUUUGACGUUACCAGCAGAAUAAGCACCGGCUAACUUCGUG